This 985-nucleotide ribosomal RNA is filed under the name human gut metagenome. RNAcentral's name for it is "bacterial LSU rRNA". It matches the Rfam family "Bacterial large subunit ribosomal RNA", at positions 1942 to 2925 of the family's 2925-position model. The record is from RNAcentral.
AUAACGGUCCUAAGGUAGCGAAAUUCCUUGUCAGGUAAGUUCUGACCCGCACGAAUGGCGUAAUGAUUUGGGCACUGUCUCAACAGCCCGCCCGGCGAAAUUGUAGUACUGGUGAAGAUGCCAGUUACCCGCAACUAGACGGAAAGACCCCAUGGAGCUUUACUGCAGUUUAAUACUGGGAAUCGGUAAUUCAUGUACAGGAUAGGUGGGAGACUUGGAAGCACGGUCGUCAGGUCGUGUGGAGUCACCGGUGGGAUACCACUCUUGGAUUGCUGGUUUCCUAACCUGCGGCCCUGAAUCGGGUCGGGGGACACUGUUAGACGGGCAGUUUGACUGGGGCGGUCGCCUCCAAAAGAGUAACGGAGGCGCUCAAAGGUUCGUUCAGCACGGACGGAAAUCGUGCAUUGAGUGUAAACGCAUAAACGAGCCUAACUGCGAGACCGACGGGUCGAGCAGUAACGAAAGUUGGAGUUAGUGAUCCGGUGGUAUGUGAGUGGAAAUGCCAUCGCUCAACGGAUAAAAGUUACCCUGGGGAUAACAGGCUGAUCUCCCCCAAGAGUCCACAUCGACGGGGAGGUUUGGCACCUCGAUGUCGGCUCAUCGCAUCCUGGGGCUGAAUUCGGUCCCAAGGGUUUGGCUGUUCGCCAAUUAAAGCGGCACGCGAGCUGGGUUCAGAACGUCGUGAGACAGUUCGGUCCCUAUCUGUUGCGGGCGCAGGAGAUUUGAAGGGAGCUGUCCUUAGUACGAGAGGACCGGGAUGGACAGACCUCUGGUGCACCAGUUGUCCUGCCAAGGGCACAGCUGGGUAGCUACGUCUGGACGAGAUAAACGCUGAAAGCAUCUAAGCGUGAAACUCCCCCUAAGAUAAGAUCUCUCAUCCAUUAUGGAGUAAGGCUCGACGUAGACUAUGUCGUUGAUAGGUCGGAGGUGGAAGUGCCGUGAGGCAUGGAGCUGACCGAUACUAAUAAGCCGAGGGCUUGACCUA